Molecule: ribosomal RNA, 253 nt
Filed under: uncultured bacterium
Lineage: Bacteria
Description: partial 16S ribosomal RNA
Rfam family: Bacterial small subunit ribosomal RNA
Source: RNAcentral
UACGGAGGGGGCUAGCGUUGUUCGGAAUUACUGGGCGUAAAGCGCACGUAGGCGGCUUUGUAAGUUAGAGGUGAAAGCCCAGGGCUCAACUCCGGAAUUGCCUUUAAGACUGCAUCGCUCGAAUCAUGGAGAGGUGAGUGGAAUUCCGAGUGUAGAGGUGAAAUUCGUAGAUAUUCGGAAGAACACCAGUGGCGAAGGCGACUCACUGGACAUGUAUUGACGCUGAGGUGCGAAAGCGUGGGGAGCAAACAGG